This 253-nucleotide ribosomal RNA is filed under the name uncultured bacterium. RNAcentral describes it as "partial 16S ribosomal RNA". It matches the Rfam family "Bacterial small subunit ribosomal RNA", at positions 524 to 776 of the family's 1533-position model. The record is from RNAcentral.
UACAGGGGGGGCAAGCGUUGUUCGGAAUUACUGGGCGUAAAGGGUUCGUAGGUGGCCACUUAAGUCAGACGUGAAAUCCCUCAGCUUAACUGGGGAACUGCGUCUGAUACUGAGUGGCUUGAGUGCAGGAGAGGGAUGCGGAAUUCCAGGUGUAGCGGUGAAAUGCGCAGAUAUCAGGAGGAACACCGGUGGCGAAGGCGGGUCUCUGGGCCGAUACUGACGCUGAGGUGCGAAAGCGUGGGGAGCAAACAGG